RNAcentral lists this ribosomal RNA (462 nucleotides) under uncultured Fusibacter sp. Its description in RNAcentral is "bacterial SSU rRNA". It matches the Rfam family "Bacterial small subunit ribosomal RNA", at positions 917 to 1381 of the family's 1533-position model. Lineage: Bacteria; Bacillati; Bacillota; Clostridia; Eubacteriales; Fusibacteraceae. The record is from RNAcentral.
UGACGGACCCGCACAAGCGGUGGAUCAUGUUGUUUAAUUCGAUGAUACGCGAAGAACUUACCAGGUCUUGACAUCCCCGCGAUGCUUAGAGAUAAAGCGGAGGUAUCGGGGAGACAGGUGGUGCAUGGUUGUCGUCAGCUCGUGUCGUGAGAUGUUGGGUUAAGUCCCGCAACGAGCGCAACCCUUGUGUUUAGUUGCAAACAGGUCAAGCUGUGCACUCUAGACAGACUGCCGUGGACAACACGGAGGAAGGUGGGGAUGACGUCAAAUCAUCAUGCCCCUUAUGAUCUGGGCUACACACGUGCUACAAUGGCCGGUACAACGGGCAGCGAAGGAGCGAUCCGGAGCGAAUCCUAAAAAGCCGGUCCCAGUUCGGAUUGCAGGCUGAAACUCGCCUACAUGAAGUUGGAGUUGCUAGUAAUCGCGAAUCAGAAUGUCGCGGUGAAUGCGUUCCCGGGUCUU